RNAcentral lists this ribosomal RNA (247 nucleotides) under uncultured Lactobacillus sp. RNAcentral's name for it is "partial 16S ribosomal RNA". It matches the Rfam family "Bacterial small subunit ribosomal RNA", at positions 116 to 355 of the family's 1533-position model. The record is from RNAcentral. Lineage: Bacteria; Bacillati; Bacillota; Bacilli; Lactobacillales; Lactobacillaceae.
CGUAGGGUAACCUGCCCAAGAGAUCGGGAUAACACCUGGAAACAGAUGCUAAUACCGGAUAACAACAGAUGAUGCCUAUCAACUGUUUAAAAGAUGGUUCUGCUAUCACUCUUGGAUGGACCUGCGGUGCAUUAGCUAGUUGGUAGGGUAACGGCCUACCAAGGCGAUGAUGCAUAGCCGAGUUGAGAGACUGAUCGGCCACAUUGGGACUGAGACACGGCCCAAACUCCUACGGGAGGCAGCAGCC